CACGUUAACGAACGAGACCUUAACCUGCUAAAUAGCUUGGCGAAUCCUUGAUUCGUGCAAGCUUCUUAGAGGGACUAUUGACGUUUAGUCAAUGGAAGUUUGAGGCAAUAACAGGUCUGUGAUGCCCUUAGAUGUCCUGGGCCGCACGCGCGCUACACUGAUGAAGUCAGCGAGUUCUUCCUUGGCCGGAAGGUCCGGGUAAUCUUUUGAAACUUCAUCGUGCUGGGGAUAGUGCAUUGCAAUUAUUGCACUUCAACGAGGAAUUCCUAGUAAGCGCAAGUCAUCAGCUUGCGUUGAUUACGUCCCUGCCCUUUGUACACACCGCCCGUCGCUAAUACCGAUUGAAUGGAUAA
RNAcentral lists this ribosomal RNA (353 nucleotides) under Eukaryota sp. RNAcentral describes it as "SSU rRNA". It matches the Rfam family "Eukaryotic small subunit ribosomal RNA", at positions 1324 to 1700 of the family's 1831-position model. The record is from RNAcentral.